UUUAUGGAGAGUUUGAUCCUGGCUCAGGACGAACGCUGGCGGCGUGCUUAACACAUGCAAGUCGAACGGAAAGGCCUAGCUUGCUAGGUACUCGAGUGGCGAACGGGUGAGUAACACGUGGGUGAUCUGCCUCGUACUUCGGGAUAAGCCUGGGAAACUGGGUCUAAUACUGGAUAGGACCAUGCUUUAGUGUGUGUGGUGGAAAGUUUUUUCGGUACGAGAUGAGCCCGCGGCCUAUCAGCUUGUUGGUGGGGUAAUGGCCUACCAAGGCGUCGACGGGUAGCCGGCCUGAGAGGGUGGACGGCCACAUUGGGACUGAGAUACGGCCCAGACUCCUACGGGAGGCAGCAGUGGGGAAUAUUGCACAAUGGGCGCAAGCCUGAUGCAGCGACGCCGCGUGGGGGAUGACGGCCUUCGGGUUGUAAACCUCUUUCGCUAGGGACGAAGCUUUUGUGACGGUACCUAGAUAAGAAGCACCGGCUAACUACGUGCCAGCAGCCGCGGUAAUACGUAGGGUGCGAGCGUUGUCCGGAAUUACUGGGCGUAAAGAGCUCGUAGGUGGUUUGUCGCGUCGUCUGUGAAAUUCCGGGGCUUAACUUCGGGCGUGCAGGCGAUACGGGCAUAACUUGAGUGCUGUAGGGGAGACUGGAAUUCCUGGUGUAGCGGUGGAAUGCGCAGAUAUCAGGAGGAACACCGAUGGCGAAGGCAGGUCUCUGGGCAGUAACUGACGCUGAGGAGCGAAAGCAUGGGGAGCGAACAGGAUUAGAUACCCUGGUAGUCCAUGCCGUAAACGGUGGGCGCUAGGUGUGAGGGUCUUCCACGACUUUCGUGCCGUAGCUAACGCAUUAAGCGCCCGCCUGGGGAGUACGGCCGCAAGGCUAAAACUCAAAGGAAUUGACGGGGGCCCGCACAAGCGGCGGAGCAUGUGGAUUAAUUCGAUGCAACGCGAAGAACCUUACCUGGGCUUGACAUAUGCAGGAUCGGCGUAGUGAUACGUUUUCCCUUGUGGUCUGUAUACAGGUGGUGCAUGGUUGUCGUCAGCUCGUGUCGUGAGAUGUUGGGUUAAGUCCCGCAACGAGCGCAACCCUUGUCUUAUGUUGCCAGCACGUGAUGGUGGGGACUCAUGAGAGACUGCCGGGGUUAACUCGGAGGAAGGUGGGGAUGACGUCAAAUCAUCAUGCCCCUUAUGUCCAGGGCUUCACACAUGCUACAAUGGUCGGUACAACGCGCUGCGAGCCUGUGAGGGUGAGCGAAUCGCUGAAAGCCGGCCUCAGUUCGGAUUGGGGUCUGCAACUCGACCCCAUGAAGUCGGAGUCGCUAGUAAUCGCAGAUCAGCAACGCUGCGGUGAAUACGUUCCCGGGCCUUGUACACACCGCCCGUCACGUCAUGAAAGUUGGUAACACCCGAAGCCAGUGGCCUAACCCUUGUGGGAGGAGCUGUCGAAGGUGGGAUCGGCGAUUGGGACGAAGUCGUAACAAGGUAGCCGUACCGGAAGGUGCGGCUGGAUCACCUCCUUUCUAAGGAG
This 1526-nucleotide ribosomal RNA is filed under the name Corynebacterium diphtheriae. Its description in RNAcentral is "bacterial SSU rRNA". It matches the Rfam family "Bacterial small subunit ribosomal RNA". The record is from RNAcentral. Lineage: Bacteria; Bacillati; Actinomycetota; Actinomycetes; Mycobacteriales; Corynebacteriaceae.